CCCUUAGAUGUUCUGGGCCGCACGCGCGCUACACUGAUUCAUGCAACAAGUUUUGUCCUUGGCUGAUAGGCCUGGGUAAUCUUUGAACGUGAAUCGUGAUGGGGAUAGAUGAUUGCAAUUAUUCGUCUUCAACGAGGAAUUCCUAGUAAACGCAAGUCAUCAACUUGCAUUGAUUACGUCCCUGCCCUUUGUACACACCGCCCGUCGCACCUACCGAUUGAAUGGUCCGGUGAAGCCUCCGGAUUGGCGCGCACCUCGGUGCCGCCGAGAAGUUGGCUAAACCUUACCAUUUAGAGGAAGGUGAAGUCGUAACA
This 314-nucleotide ribosomal RNA is filed under the name uncultured eukaryote. RNAcentral's name for it is "partial 18S ribosomal RNA". It matches the Rfam family "Eukaryotic small subunit ribosomal RNA", at positions 1470 to 1796 of the family's 1831-position model. The record is from RNAcentral.